AUACGGAGGGUGCGAGCGUUAAUCGGAAUUACUGGGCGUAAAGCGUACGUAGGCGGUUUGCUAAGUCAGAUGUGAAAGCCCCGGGCUUAACCUGGGAACUGCAUUUGAUACUGGCAGACUAGAGUAUGAUAGAGGGGGGUAGAAUUCCUGGUGUAGCGGUGAAAUGCGUAGAUAUCAGGAGUAAUACCAGUGGCGAAGGCGGCCCCCUGGAUCAAUACUGACGCUGAGGUACGAAAGCGUGGGGAGCAAACAGGAUUAGAAACCCUAGUAGUCC
RNAcentral lists this ribosomal RNA (274 nucleotides) under uncultured bacterium. Its description in RNAcentral is "partial 16S ribosomal RNA". It matches the Rfam family "Bacterial small subunit ribosomal RNA", at positions 523 to 796 of the family's 1533-position model. The record is from RNAcentral.